RNAcentral lists this long non-coding RNA (3988 nucleotides) under Xyrichtys novacula (pearly razorfish). Lineage: Eukaryota; Metazoa; Chordata; Actinopteri; Labriformes; Labridae. The record is from RNAcentral.
GGUUCAUUGUGAAUGUGUGUAUUUGUCAAGCUUUGUGAAUGCCAGUGUCUCCUUGUGAUUUUUUCUUCCUUGGAUUUUGCUCCUUGUGUGUUUGCCUUUGGGAUUUCUUUUGGUUGGACUAUUUUGAAAGUAAGUUUUUGUUGCUUUUCUUUUAGUUCCUUUUAAAUAAGUCAAUUUUUGUUUUGUAUUUUGGGUCCUUCCCUUCUUGUUUAACUCCAAAUCGCCACACUCCUGUUUGCUAACAUAAUAGCAGUCAGUUGUCAUCCAUCUCUUCUGUUUACAAAAAUGCCCCAGUAGCAGAAGAACUGAUCCUCUAAUAGUUAUGAAGUUGUGAUUGGCCUGACCUGAAUGAGGUUGAAAAGAACUGUAUUUGGACCAGAGGAGAACCAGGUGCAUCUGCCACUGCAAAUAAAACAUUAACUUUCAGUCUUAUCUGGUUCCCACAGUAUCCAGUGACAAUGACUGUGUGAGAUCUGGCACACAUAGUGAUGAACUAUCACCUGUAUCUGCAGCUUGCCUUGACUGUACAGAGCUAAAAUAGCAAGUAUCACUCUGUUGUUUAGCUGCCUGACCUGCUUUUUUACUGUCUGUACUCUCACAAUGUAUUUCAGCCUUAAAAGUAGCUAUUUUUUUUUUUUAGUGAUAGGCUCCAAACAGCAGACUGGCACAGUACCUGAACUAUCUAUUGCAUUUUUAAGCUAAUCUUGGUAAGGGCUCAUGCUCUGCUGUUAGCUAGCUAGCUUACAGUGUGUUUGUCCUGACCAAGAUUAGCUGAAAAUUGCAGUAGCUAAUUCAGGUAGUAUGCUAACUGUGCCAGUCUGCCGUUUGGAGCCUAUCACUUAAAAUGGCUGCUAUUGAGGCUGAAAUACAUUGUGAGAGUACAGGCAGUAAAAAUGUAUUUCAGCCUCAAAAGCAGCCAUUUUUAGUGAUAGGCUCCAAACAGCAGACUGGCACAGUUAGCAGGUAGCCUACCUGAAUUAGCUAUUGCAGUUUUCAGCUAAUCUUGGUGUUAGCUAGCUAGCAUACAGUGUGUUUGUCUUGACCUUCUAUUUAUCAUACUGAGAGUUGAUUCACUGAUAAUUAAUGCAUAUGCCUUUUUAACAUGAAAAGAACUGUUUGUUUUUUUCUGAUUGACUAGCCUGUCUUAUCUGCCCUAUUAGACUUUACUCAUGGUUCUGACAUUUUGGGGCUAAUCUCCAACUCUUGACUUGGUUAGUAAUCUAGGCUACCCCCUUGUCUCUUUCCCACAGCGCCUGGAGAAACCCAUGCGUCACUCCUGCCCGGCCUCCCACCUCUGCUGUGAGUCCCCUCCACUGGUGGGCAUGGGAAACCUAAGACCAUCUCAGAGAGCAUGAUUUAUUCAAACUCUGCAUGUUUAUGUGCCAUUCAUAUUUAUUCACAGCUCCUUGGAGGCCCACAGGUCAAGCCCUAGCUGUUAUUUUCUGAGUUAAUGUUCCUGUUUUGUCAACAAAUUAAAAAAAAACAUUGAUAGUUAUACAACUUGGUGCUUCAGACAGAGUUACAGCUGACUGAACCUCCAAUUACUUUCUGCUGAUAGACGCACAUCUGAGGCAGAAUUUACGUAAGAGGAUCUUCUCGGCCUGUGAGCUAUCCAUCAUGAUAAGAAAGAUAUGAAGCAGAACCCUGCUUGUUUGCAGGAAAUAAGGCUUGAGGGAAGUUAUCACUCAACUAAAAAAUCCAGACUCCCACAAAAGAAUAACCUAAAACCAGCUGGUUAGAGCCACAAAAUGAAAAAUGCCUUUUUUUGUUAACUUCAAAAGAGUGGCUUUGUACUGUAUUGUGUCAAAACAGCGAAGAGCAAUAACUUAGCCGUCUCUUUUUAUGCUCAGUUAUGUUUCUAAAUUCGACGCCAGUGGACUCCCAAUUAAAGAAGACAAGACUGUGAUUCCAUCUGGUGACAAUAUGCGCGCAAAUAUGUGGGACUGUCUUCACAACAGGAGGUCAAGCAUUUGCAAAUGAUACUAAAAGUUGUCAAGAAAACAAAUUUUAUGGAAAAAUAAAUAAAUUAGGAAACAAACAUCAGAGGCAUUUAGAGUUUUCAGUACAUUUUUUUAAAUUAAUUGAAUUAUAUGUUAGUGUGUAGAAAAAACUCAAGUAAAAGACAAAUGAGUCCAGAUUGAGAGUGAUACUGACAAAAAUAAAGAUUUAAUUCAAUGUUGGCAUUAAAUCUGGCAAUUAAUCUACCACUGUCUGGCAGAGGUCUUCGGCCAUUGCCUUAACAUUCAAAACUAAUAUUUCUCAAUAUGUGUGUGCGUGUGUGUUAUAGGUGUAAACAUGCCGUAUCAUUUCUAACCAGCAGAGAGCAGCAUUGGACAGAAAGAACCAUCAUCUGACAGCUCUGAGUGCAGCAUGGAUGUCACCAGGUAAGAGCCAGAUUGCACUUAAUUUUGAAUAAGUGAGAGAAAAAUCAAAAAUUGAUUGAUAAAGUACAACAAAUAUUGUGGGUAUUCAUUGAGUGGCUUCUCUGAAAGCAGACAUUUCAAUUGGUCGUAACAGGAGAAAAAACAACAGGUGUUAUCAAUCAGACUAAUGAUGGCUGAGGAUCAUUAAAGUGUUGAAAUGAGCCAAAGAGUGAGGCAGUGUUUGCAAUAACAAGACUCUAAACUUGAAACAGCCAAAUGGAAGCCAUAAGGAAUGUAAAAAAAUAAUCAAAAAUAGAAUAAUUCAAGCUCAAGUUUACAUUUUUUUAUUGUCAGGUGAUUUUUUUUCUCGAUGGACUUCAACUGCAUAAGCCAAGUUACAGCUUUCGGGUUACAACAGCUACCUUUAACUGUGGGUAUCUGUGUGAUAUCUAUGUCUGAUCUAAGAGAGAUAGCCUGUAUAAAUACAUGACUAAUGUCCUGUGAAGAUGCACUUCCUUUCCCAGGGAGCUCUAUUAGAAACCAGGUGCAUGCUAUCAUAACAGAAAACAUCUGGUGAACAUGAAGCAACCAUGGCAACUGUGCCUGUUUUUACCAUUCAGUAUUUGGAGUACAACUACACAAGAGUGCCAAUCCUUCACCGGGACCCAUGAAUAUUUAAUACAGCAGGCCCGCAGUCAUACAGUAACCUAAGUGUGUUUCACCUUAUCACUUCUAAGUAGCACUGAUUGGUGCGUGUUUGCCUCGUACAUCUUGUUGACAACAUACAUCAUUUCCUAUUCAUUUAUGCAGUUUGUUACUGCGAGGCACACUUCUGUAACUACACACUUGGCUGUGGGUCUUACUCUUCAAAUACUGCAAGGAUUCAAGGAUUUAGAGAUUUAUUUCUCUCUCUCACUCUCUCUUUCUCUCUCACUCUCUCUCUCACAUACACACACAUACAAACAUUAUCUAUGCUCUCAGGCAAAGCUCAAAGGCCUGUGUGAAAAAUAUACGCUCAGAAAUAGAAAUGUAAGAAAUAAAAUGUUUAAAAUAUAAACAUAUAGCCAUGUUAACAUGCAACAUUUUGAUUGAAUGUACAACCAAGUAACAGACGCUAUUUGAAAAAUUAAUAUUUAAGUCAAAUUAAGAAAUCAUUGUCUUAAACUCUUCAUAAUAUGUGUGUGCAUGUGUGUGUGUUUGUCUUUAUGGCUCUCUGCACUGCACAGCAUCACAAGAGGAAGAUAGGAGCUGCAGCCAGCUGAUAUAAAAAGAAACCCAGCAGUGGCAGCAGUGGAGCCAAAGUGAUUCAAUAAAUGAGCGAGCAGAGCCAGAGCACAAAGCUCUGCGAAGCCAAUUGUUUUGUACUUCAAAGUCUGGCUAAUAUCAAAAACAAGGCGGUUCAGGCUGCCCGCAGUCAGAACAGAUUCCCUGGCUCAUAGGAACAGCCAAUAAUUAAAAGCUUGUUGCAUUUUUGAAAUUAUGCUUCCCUUUAAAUAUAUGCAAUAUUCACUUCUACUGGAAAAAUGUGCGCCGAGCCACAAUUGGCCAUAAUGUGCAGCUUGUUUUAAUUUCAUAAAAUAAAAAUGUGACCUUUCAAAAUAAAUAUCUAAUCUCAUGCAUCAUCC